Molecule: ribosomal RNA, 98 nt
Filed under: uncultured bacterium
Lineage: Bacteria
Description: partial 16S ribosomal RNA
Source: RNAcentral
CACCGCCCGUCACAUCACGAAAGCCGGCUGCACUAGAAAUCGCCGCGCCAACCCGCAAGGGAGGCAGGCGCUUAAGGUAUGGUCGGUGAGUUGGGGUG